Molecule: long non-coding RNA, 282 nt
Organism: Actinia tenebrosa (Australian red waratah sea anemone)
Lineage: Eukaryota; Metazoa; Cnidaria; Anthozoa; Actiniaria; Actiniidae
Source: RefSeq, a predicted model, not a curated record
AUAAACAUCUGAUGAGCCACUUUCUUAACUACUUCAGUUGAAUUAUUAACAUUUGACUUGACUUCCUAUAAUCAUCAUUCAAAGGUCAUGACUCAAGAACCAAGCCUGGAGAGAGCUCUGCUUGCUCGACAUUAUUUAUUCAAGGUCGUACAUUUGCAACAGUUCAUUUUAUAGUAACAUCAAUAUCAACAGGUGUGAAUAUUAUCAUGGCGCUAUUAGUGUGCUACAUUUUCAAAAGGACUGGUUUCAAAGUUUUAAGGAAGAGGAGCGACAACCAAAGGC